CCUGUUCCUGUCAGUUCUUUUCCUCUCAUGUGCGUUUCUAAUCUCACCACAGGCUCCCUCACCGUCCCCUUCUGAGCUUUCGUCACAGCCACCUUCCUUGCCUCCAUCACAGUCACCUUCUUUGCCUCCGUCUCAGCCACCUUCCUUGCCUCCCUCUAAGCCACCUUCUCUGCCUCCCUCACAGUCAACUUCUGACGCUUGUAAGUCAACUCCAUACCCAAAGCUCUGCCGUACGAUCCUCUCCGCCGUCAAAUCCUCACCGUCCGACCCCUACAGCUACGGCAA
RNAcentral lists this long non-coding RNA (285 nucleotides) under Brassica rapa (field mustard). RNAcentral's name for it is "long non-coding RNA (BRAP_LNC000738)". The record is from RNAcentral. Lineage: Eukaryota; Viridiplantae; Streptophyta; Magnoliopsida; Brassicales; Brassicaceae.